UACUGAGAAGUACUUUUCCGAGGUGAUGGGAAGAGCCGCUCCCCCUUCCCCCCCCGCGGGGAAGGGGACGGCGCGACCCUGCCUUCCACCCUUGCGUAUCCACCGCGUUGCUUUGGCGGGCCGACCCGGUUUCGACCCGGGCGGCCGGCGCCCCCAGCCCGGAUUCCCGGGCCAGGACGCCCGGGCCAAGCGCCCGCCAGUACACCAAACUCCAGCGAUUAUUUCGUGCAGUCCUGAAACAUUCAUUCAAUGAAACUAAAACUUUCAACAACGGAUCUCUUGGUUCUGGCAUCGAUGAAGAACGCAGCGAAAUGCGAUAAGUAAUGUGAAUUGCAGAAUUCAGUGAAUCAUCGAAUCUUUGAACGCACAUUGCGCUCCCUGGUAUUCCGGGGAGCAUGCCUGUUCGAGCGUCAUUUCAACCCUCAAGCUCUGCUUGGUAUUGGGCGACGUCCGCUGCCGGACGCGCCUGGAAGACCUCGGCGACGGCGUCCCAGCCUCGAGCGUAGUAGCGAAAACAUCUCGCUCUGGAGGAAGGGGGCGGCGGCUUGCCGGACAAUCGACCUUCGGUCACCAUUCAUUUCCAAGGUUGACCUCGGAUCAGGUAGGGAUACCCGCUGAACUUAAGCAUAUCAAUAAGCGGAGGAAAAGAAACCAACAGGGAUUGCCUCAGUAACGGCGAGUGAAGCGGCAACAGCUCAAAUUUGAAAGCUGGCGCCUUCGGCGUCCGCGUUGUAAUUUGUAGAGGAUGCUUCGGCGAGGGCUCCUGCCUAAGUUCCCUGGAAUGGGACGUCACAGAGGGUGAGAAUCCCGUACGUGGCGGGCGGCCUCAGCCAUGUGAAGCUCCUUCGACGAGUCGAGUUGUUUGGGAAUGCAGCUCUAAAUGGGAGGUAAAUUUCUUCUAAAGCUAAAUACCGGCCAGAGACCGAUAGCGCACAAGUAGAGUGAUCGAAAGAUGAAAAGCACUUUGGAAAGAGAGUUAAAAAGUACGUGAAAUUGUUGAAAGGGAAGCGCUUGCGACCAGACUCGCCCGCAGUUGCUCAGCCUGCCUCCUGGCGGGCGUACUCUUCUGCGGUCGGGCCAGCAUCGGUUCGGGCGGCCGGAUAAAGGCGUCGGGAAUGUGGCUCCCUUCGGGGUGCGUUAUAGCCCGGCGCGGAAUGCGGCCAGCCUGGACCGAGGAUCUCGUCCG
RNAcentral lists this ribosomal RNA (1186 nucleotides) under fungal endophyte. RNAcentral describes it as "eukaryotic LSU rRNA". The stretch from base 588 to 1186 matches the Rfam family "Eukaryotic large subunit ribosomal RNA", at positions 1 to 604 of the family's 3401-position model. Lineage: Eukaryota; Fungi. The record is from RNAcentral.